AAAGAUUUCUUCGGAAUGAAUUUGAUUAAGUUUAGUGGCGGACGGGCGAGUAACGCGUGAGUAACCUGCCUCUAAGAGGGGAAUAACAUUCUGAAAAGAAUGCUAAUACCGCAUAACAUAUAUUUAUCGCAUGGUAGAUAUAUCAAAGAUUUAUCGCUUAGAGAUGGACUCGCGUCCGAUUAGUUAGUUGGUGAGGUAACGGCUCACCAAGACUGCGAUCGGUAGCCGGACUGAGAGGUUGAACGGCCACAUUGGGACUGAGACACGGCCCAGACUCCUACGGGAGGCAGCAGUGGGGGAUAUUGCGCAAUGGGGGAAACCCUGACGCAGCAACGCCGCGUGAAGGAUGAAGGUCUUCGGAUUGUAAACUUCUUUUAUUAAGGACGAAGAAAGUGACGGUACUUAAUGAAUAAGCUCCGGCUAACUACGUGCCAGCAGCCGCGGUAAUACGUAGGGAGCAAGCGUUGUCCGGAUUUACUGGGUGUAAAGGGUGCGUAGGCGGCUUUGCAAGUCAGAUGUGAAAUCUAUGGGCUCAACCCAUAGCCUGCAUUUGAAACUGCAGAGCUUGAGUGAAGUAGAGGCAGGCGGAAUUCCCCGUGUAGCGGUGAAAUGCGUAGAGAUGGGGAGGAACACC
This 634-nucleotide ribosomal RNA is filed under the name uncultured bacterium. RNAcentral describes it as "bacterial SSU rRNA". It matches the Rfam family "Bacterial small subunit ribosomal RNA", at positions 69 to 710 of the family's 1533-position model. The record is from RNAcentral.